RNAcentral lists this non-coding RNA (32 nucleotides) under Rattus norvegicus (Norway rat). The record is from RNAcentral. Lineage: Eukaryota; Metazoa; Chordata; Mammalia; Rodentia; Muridae.
UACUUCGCAUUCAACCUACAAGGACUUCUUGC